UGGACAGGUGAAGAUUUCCCCAUCUUCUGGAAGGUUGCAAUUGAUUAAUGUAACAGGCAGCAUUGAUGUCAUUAUACCAGACCUCCCAUCAACUUGGAAUAUCAACAGCAUAUAUGAGGUAAAUGAAUUCUCGCUUGUUAUGGAAGGCAUACCUGAAAAAGUGGAUUGUUCGGGAUUACACCUCAAUGAAUCAUUCCUGUGCA
Molecule: non-coding RNA, 203 nt
Organism: Camellia sinensis
Lineage: Eukaryota; Viridiplantae; Streptophyta; Magnoliopsida; Ericales; Theaceae
Source: RefSeq, a predicted model, not a curated record